This 1277-nucleotide small RNA is filed under the name Theobroma cacao (cacao). Its description in RNAcentral is "sRNA Tc04v2_g019620". The record is from RNAcentral. Lineage: Eukaryota; Viridiplantae; Streptophyta; Magnoliopsida; Malvales; Malvaceae.
CCUUUAGCUUUUCAGAGAGUUUUCUAUAUUCCAUCAUCAGAAAAAUAAUAUUAAAUAUAUGAUAAUAUCCCCCACAAUCCUCUCCCUCUUCUUCUAUUUAAGACCCUCCCUUUAUCCUCUCUUCUCAGCAUGGAGCCUAGCAUCUACCGAAUGGAAUUUUUGUGUCUCGGUGCAGUUUUGACGAUAUCAAGAUCCCUUACUACUGCUUUGGUGAUUGAGCCUCGGCUAGGGCUUGUUUCUGAAGUGGGGUUUCUUUCAUAAUCCAACUACAGCAGGAUUACAAAACCAGAGAGAGAGAAGUGAACUUAAUUCACAUGCCCUGUGAAGGUGAGUUUGAUUAAGAGCUGCUGAUGUUUAUUCUAAAACUAUGAGGCUAUGAUCAAUAUCAUGUGAAGCUCCUUUCAGUUUUCAUGAGAAAAUGUUGUCUCUUCUCUCUCUCUCUCUCUCUCUCUCCCUGAGGGUUGCUUUCUUUCCCUCUAUCUUUUCUUGCUGGACUUUGGCCCUUCUGUUUUGGUGGUAAGCUUUAUGUGGACAAGAUUCCAUGCAGCUCUCAUUUUUCCAUUAAGUACCAAAGUAGUCAGAUACGUUACUAGUUUUGAUUCGUCCUACUCUUUCCAGAGUUUUUCCAUAUGUCAGCUAUCAUGCAUGAAGAAAAACUAAGUGAGGAUUCAUUGACAAGUACUCCUUACAUUCCAUUUGAAGAUGCUCUUGGGAAUUAGUCUCCAUAAAGCUAGAUCUUUGGCAUCAUUUUAAUUACUGUCUUCUGUAAGGGGAUCAAAUAUGGGUCAAAUAAUUCAUUCUCCGAAAGAGAAAUAUCGAUAACAGAAGUGGGCUGCCUCUGUAUCUAGGUGGGGGGCCCGGGCUAGCUGUUGUAGUAGCUAGGGUCUGUUUGGAUCUCAGGAGGAAAAGCAAGGAUGGUUUCCCUUGGGGCAACAUAAGGAUUGAACAGAAGUGAAAAUCCUUUUGUUUGAUUUUCAUGGUCUUACUAACGAGUUGCUGCAGUAAAUAAUGCAUGUACACCUAAAAGAGAUGGGAAAAAAUUACAUCAAAGUGAAAACAAAAACCUCAGAGGUUGGAUUGUAAGAGAAGCUGCCAAUUUUAAUUUGAUGUGAUUGUGAUGUUAUUGCUUACAAUGUUGAGGAGGAGUACUUUCUUUCAGUGCUUAGUACUUUGAUGUAAUAUCUCAUGCACAUUACAUGUUAUAUAUAUAUACAUUAUAUGCACAUGCAUGUCCAUGUUCUUAUAUCAAUUAUGUUAACUGAACUUUCUUUUUUCUA